This is a long non-coding RNA of Stegostoma tigrinum, 425 nucleotides long. RefSeq lists it as uncharacterized. The record is from RefSeq and is a predicted model, not a curated record. The transcript has 3 exons. Lineage: Eukaryota; Metazoa; Chordata; Chondrichthyes; Orectolobiformes; Stegostomatidae.
AAACUCAAGGUUACUCAUGUGCCCAUGGAUUAAAUGACUAUGCUAUUAUGUGAAUGCUGUUUUUGGAUCUGAACUAUGGAUUAUUCGUGGUUCUCUUUGAUGGUUUAAUUCUGCUUCCUGGAAAAAGUGCAAACACUGAUAUUGUUAACUUGUAAGCACCUUUCAACACGAUAAAAAGUAAAGUGCACCAGGAAUACAGACAAUACUGGGACACAAAGUGCGUGUGUAUUUCCUACAAGUCUACGCAGUUUGUGGGCUCUAACAUUAUAAGGAUCACACAUCGCUGAGGUAAAGUUAUAUCAGAAGCAGGGUUCAUUUAACACACAUAGACAUGGGAGAAAGCAGAAGACAUGGAAGAACCCUGACAACAUGAGCGGACUUACAAAUGCACAAGAAGAUAUAGAAACAGAAAUUAUUCAGUUAGU